RNAcentral lists this ribosomal RNA (253 nucleotides) under uncultured bacterium. Its description in RNAcentral is "partial 16S ribosomal RNA". It matches the Rfam family "Bacterial small subunit ribosomal RNA", at positions 524 to 776 of the family's 1533-position model. The record is from RNAcentral.
UACGGGGGGGGCAAGCGUUGUUCGGAAUUACUGGGCGUAAAGGGCUCGUAGGUGGCCAACUAAGUCAGACGUGAAAUCCCUCGGCUUAACCGGGGAACUGCGUCUGAUACUGGAUGGCUUGAGUUUGGGAGAGGGACGCGGAAUUCCAGGUGUAGCGGUGAAAUGCGUAGAUAUCUGGAGGAACACCGGUGGCGAAGGCGGCAUCCUGGACCAACACUGACGCUGAGGAGCGAAAGCCAGGGGAGCAAACGGG